This 424-nucleotide ribosomal RNA is filed under the name uncultured Oscillatoria sp. RNAcentral's name for it is "bacterial SSU rRNA". It matches the Rfam family "Bacterial small subunit ribosomal RNA", at positions 29 to 495 of the family's 1533-position model. Lineage: Bacteria; Bacillati; Cyanobacteriota; Cyanophyceae; Oscillatoriales; Oscillatoriaceae. The record is from RNAcentral.
AUGAACGCUGGCGGUCUGCUUAACACAUGCAAGUCGAACGGAAUCCUUAGGGAUUUAGUGGCGGACGGGUGAGUAACACGUAAGAACCUGCCUCUAGGACGGGGACAACAGUUGGAAACGACUGCUAAACCCGGAUGAGCCGAAAGGUAAAAGAUUAAUCGCCUAGAGAGGGGCUUGCGUCUGAUUAGCUAGUUGGUGAGGUAAGAGCCCACCAAGGCGACGAUCAGUAGCUGGUCUGAGAGGAUGAUCAGCCACACUGGGACUGAGACACGGCCCAGACUCCUACGGGAGGCAGCAGUGGGGAAUUUUCCGCAAUGGGCGAAAGCCUGACGGAGCAAGACCGCGUGGGGGAGGAAGGUUCUUGGAUUGUCAACCCCUUUUCUCAGGGAAGAACACAAUGACGGUACCUGAGGAAAAAGCAUCG